Molecule: small nuclear RNA, 103 nt
Organism: Acomys russatus (golden spiny mouse)
Lineage: Eukaryota; Metazoa; Chordata; Mammalia; Rodentia; Muridae
Source: RefSeq, a predicted model, not a curated record
GUCUUCCUUCUGCAGCACAUAAAGUAAAACUGAUGUGUAACAAAGAUUGGCAUCACCCCUUUGCAAGGAUGACAUUGAAAUUCAUGAAGCACUCCAUAUUUUU